RNAcentral lists this ribosomal RNA (433 nucleotides) under uncultured bacterium. RNAcentral's name for it is "partial 16S ribosomal RNA". It matches the Rfam family "Bacterial small subunit ribosomal RNA", at positions 29 to 507 of the family's 1533-position model. The record is from RNAcentral.
AACGAACGCUGGCGGCAUGCCUAACACAUGCAAGUCGAACGAGACCUUCGGGUCUAGUGGCGCACGGGUGCGUAACGCGUGGGAACCUGCCCUUAGGUUCGGAAUAACUCCCCGAAAGGGGUGCUAAUACCGGAUAAUGUCUUCGGACCAAAGAUUUAUCGCCUUUGGAUGGGCCCGCGUUGGAUUAGCUAGUUGGUAGGGUAAAAGCCUACCAAGGCGACGAUCCAUAGCUGGUCUGAGAGGAUGAUCAGCCACACUGGGACUGAGACACGGCCCAGACUCCUACGGGAUGCAGCAGUAGGGAAUAUUGGACAAUGGGCGAAAGCCUGAGCCAGCAAUGCCGCGUGAGUGAUGAAGGCCUUAGGGUUGUAAAGCUCUUUUAACCGGGAUGAUAAUGACAGUACCGGGAGAAUAAGCUCCGGCUAACUCCGUG